RNAcentral lists this ribosomal RNA (1316 nucleotides) under Opisthoplatia orientalis. RNAcentral's name for it is "16S ribosomal RNA". The stretch from base 1072 to 1230 matches the Rfam family "Archaeal large subunit ribosomal RNA", at positions 2542 to 2701 of the family's 2987-position model. The record is from RNAcentral. Lineage: Eukaryota; Metazoa; Arthropoda; Insecta; Blattodea; Blaberidae.
UAUAUUAAACAUUUACUAUGUUUAUAUUAUUUUGAGAUAUUUAUAAAAAUCAAUUUAUUGUUGAUGUAUUUGUUAAAGAAAUAAUUGUUUUGGUUUUAUUUUAUUAGUACUGUGAAGGAAAAUUUAGAAAUAAGGUUUAAAAUAUUUUAUAAGUAGAAUUAUUAUUUUGUGCCUUGUGUAUCAGGAUUUAUUAAUAAAAUUUCAUUAAUUUUGAUUUUCUCGAUUUUUUUAGAGUUAAUAAUUUAUAUUAAUUAUUGUUGAAAAAAUAUUUAUAAUAAUUUAUUGGUAGUGAAAUGUUAAUCGUUAAUAAAGAUAUCUAGUUCUUUAGGAAAUAAAUUUAAUUUAGGUUCUUUCUUUAAAAAUUUAUUUGUAAAUUGUGUUUUAGGGAGUAUUAAUGGUAAUAGGGAUAAGCUUAUUAUUAAAUAUUUAUGGAAAAUAAGUUGAUAAAGUAAUAUAAAUUUAGAAAUGAUUAUUAUUAAAAAUAUGUUAAAAUUUUACUUUAAUAUUUAUGAAUUUUUUUUUUCUUAAUUAUUUACUAAGGUUUUUUAAUUAAUAAUUUAUUGAUUAAAAUUAUGAUAAAAUUAGUAUAUAUAUAUAUUAUUUAAUAAAUUUUAUUAUUUAUAAUUUUGGGGAACUAGGCAAUAAAAGGAAGUAUAAUUAAGGUUAUCCGCCUGUUUAACAAAAACAUCUCUUCUUGAUUACUUAAGAAGUAUAACCUGCCCAAUGAAUAAUAUUUAAUGGCCGCGGUAUAUUGACCGUGCAAAGGUAGCAUAAUAAUUAGUCUUUUAAUUGAAGGCUGGAAUGAAUGGUUAGACGAGAUAACAACUAUCUUAAUUUUAUUAAAUUGAAUUUAAUCUUUAAGUUAAAAAGCUUAAAUUUUUUUUUGGGACGAGAAGACCCUAUAGAGUUUAUAUAUUAUAAAUUGUUCUAAUGAAUUUGUUAUUAAUUAUUUUAUUUAUAUUAUUGUGUUGGGGUGACAGAAAGAUAAUAGUAACUCUUAUUAAUUAAUUUUUAUAAAUGUAUAUAGUAUUUGAUCCACAAUUAGUGAUUAUAAGACUAAAUUACCUUAGGGAUAACAGCGUAAUCUUUUUUAAGAGUUCAUAUCGACAAUAAGGGUUGCGACCUCGAUGUUGGAUUAAGAAUAUUUUUAGGUGUAGAAGCUUAAAAAUUAGGUCUGUUCGACCUUUAAAAUCUUACAUGAUCUGAGUUCAGACCGGCGUAAGCCAGGUUGGUUUCUAUCUAAUAAUAAUUAAGAUAUUUUAGUACGAAAGGACCAAAUAUUUAAAAUAAUUUUUUAUUUAUAUUGAUUAUUAAUA